Molecule: ribosomal RNA, 199 nt
Filed under: uncultured bacterium
Lineage: Bacteria
Description: partial 16S ribosomal RNA
Rfam family: Bacterial small subunit ribosomal RNA
Source: RNAcentral
ACGCUCGACACCUACGGGAGGCAGCAGUCGGGAAUAUUGCGCAAUGGAGGAAACUCUGACGCAGUGACGCCGCGUAUGGGAAGAAGGUUUUCGGAUUGUAAACCAUUUUAGACAAGGAAGAAACAAGACAGUACUUGUAGAAUAAGCUCCGGCUAACUACGUGCCAACAGCCGCGGUAAUCUGAGCGGGCUGGCAAGGC